AGGUGCCAUGCAUCAGGCUGAACUAAGCAGAAUGACGAGUUUGUGGCUUUAAGAGAGUUUGCUGAAUCUGACUUGGAACACUCAAACGGACAAGAGUAAGAGGUUCAACAUGAUGACUGACAUUUUUAUUGCCAAACAGUUCUGGACUGGUUAACUCUACACUUCUUUAAUCUAAAUCACUGCCUGUUUGACAUGGUGAAAAUAAGUUGACAGAACUGGGGAUAACAGAAAAAGACCAGUAGCUACCUGCAAACAAUUUGUCACCACAUACUAAAAGAGUUAAAUACUUUUUGAUGGUCUUCAGUAAGAGGAGCUGGGAUUUUAAUGAAGGGGAAGCCAGACAGCUAGAAGAGGAUUUCACAGAGAAAGGGAUCGAGGGGGACAGCCAGGACAUUAUUCAUGUCUUUCAGUUCAUUUGGCUCUGCUGGUCAGCUCCCAAGACAGAAAGAGAAACCUUCUCUCAUGUUUUUCCACCCUCCUCUAUUUUCUGCCGUUUUUUGUUCCCUUCCUUUUUUUUUUUUAUUUUGGAGGCAGAUUAGCAGGAUUAAGUAUGGCUCACAUAUGCUCCUCCUCACUAUUGGUAUUCACCACUGCACUGGGCCUAACGCCACCCAGACUGAUGGACAGAAACAGAGAGAGAAUUAAAAAGAUGGGGACGAUCUUGAUGAAGAGCAUAGAUGGAUAGGAGUCAAAGUUGCAAGAUGAGCGAACAUGUUACCAACACCACUGUUCACAUACCUUGUUUUUAGGUUUCAGUUUGGCUGUUUUCCCUCAGUUUGGUUGUCAAAUAAUUUGAAAACUGAAUAGAGCAUCCAAGGAACUCUCUUUACUAUUUGAACAUUACUGUUUUGCCCCUGUUCAAAAACCUGAGAUCAUAAAUGAAGGGUUUUCCCAGUUUUGGUAAGAAAAAGACUUAACUGCCACUCACAAAGCCCUUUGAGAUGAACUGGAGUGCAGGCUGCAAAACAGACCUUAUCACAGCAUCAGUGUUACCAAAGCACUUGUGGCUGAAUGAGCGCAAAUCCUCAGCCAGGUUUAGAAAUCUGGUGCAAAGAAUGAAACCAGAAGAGCGGAGGCUGUUAAAGAAA
This is a long non-coding RNA of Oreochromis niloticus (Nile tilapia), 1088 nucleotides long. RefSeq lists it as uncharacterized. Lineage: Eukaryota; Metazoa; Chordata; Actinopteri; Cichliformes; Cichlidae. The record is from RefSeq and is a predicted model, not a curated record. The transcript has 2 exons.